UGAGAUAUCGUCACUGCUGCA
This 21-nucleotide microRNA is filed under the name Callorhinchus milii (elephant shark). RNAcentral describes it as "eshark_mir-977_1". The record is from RNAcentral. Lineage: Eukaryota; Metazoa; Chordata; Chondrichthyes; Chimaeriformes; Callorhinchidae.